RNAcentral lists this ribosomal RNA (34 nucleotides) under Angiostrongylus vasorum (French heartworm). Its description in RNAcentral is "partial 28S ribosomal RNA". The record is from RNAcentral. Lineage: Eukaryota; Metazoa; Nematoda; Chromadorea; Rhabditida; Metastrongylidae.
UACAACCUGAACUCAGACGUGAUUACCCGCCGAA